RNAcentral lists this ribosomal RNA (253 nucleotides) under uncultured bacterium. Its description in RNAcentral is "partial 16S ribosomal RNA". It matches the Rfam family "Bacterial small subunit ribosomal RNA", at positions 524 to 776 of the family's 1533-position model. The record is from RNAcentral.
UACGUAGGGUGCAAGCGUUGUCCGGAAUUAUUGGGCGUAAAGGGCUCGUAGGCGGUCCAUCGCGUCGGGAGUGAAAAGCUGGGGCUUAACCCCAGUCCUGCUUCCGAUACGGGUGGACUAGAGGUAGGUAGGGGAGAUCGGAAUUCCUGGUGUAGCGGUGAAAUGCGCAGAUAUCAGGAGGAACACCGGUGGCGAAGGCGGAUCUCUGGGCCUUACCUGACGCUGAGGAGCGAAAGCAUGGGGAGCAAACGGG